This is a long non-coding RNA of Ylistrum balloti, 1214 nucleotides long. RefSeq lists it as uncharacterized. The transcript is spliced from 3 exons. NCBI's taxonomy places the organism in Eukaryota, Metazoa, Mollusca, Bivalvia, Pectinida, Pectinidae. The record is from RefSeq and is a predicted model, not a curated record.
AGACACUGCACGUUUAUCUUGAUGAACUCCACACAGGCAGAAACUCCACGUGACUUGCCCUUAGAGUGACAUGGACAUGUGUGAUUGCGUGCAAAGGUCUUCGAACUCAUUCAUGUUUAUUAGGAGGAGGCAGUCAUUUCUUACGAGCAUAACAUUGUUGUUGCACCACGGACAUCUUAGUGGACAAGCUAGGUUUGAGUAAUGAAGGAAAGCCAAAGUUCCUAAAGAAGAACCACUGACCAGCAGCCAGUACCUGGUGACUGCCCCAUGUAAGCUUUGAACCUGUCACCAGACGUGGAGGGUUUGUGAUUAAGACAGUCGGACGUUAUACCCACUUUACCAUUGUGGCCCUGUUUUGAAAAUGUGGGGUUUUCCAGUCAAAAAAAUGGAAGACAAAAUCAAACUGAGGCAGCGAUGUUGUUGUGCCAUUUUCAAUUCAUGACGUACAGUAAUUGUCCAUAUUACGACAUUACAAUCAAGUUUUGACUCAUGCAGCCAAUGAAAAUACUCAAGGAUAUAUCUACUACAUAAGUGACAAAUGUUAAAAUAUCACAAGGGCAGAUUCACUGGAUAACAGAAUGAUUAUGUGAUAAAUGUCAACAACGAAAUCUAUGACGAACAAUAAGCAAUGUUUUGCCACAUGGACGUGAACAAUUUAUCAAUAGCUACACAGCCAGGUAGCCGAAACAAUGAAAUUUUACGGCAGUUAUUUGUCGGGUCAAUAUGACAUUGCUAUAGUAACAGAUUUACUCCUGGGUACCUGUUAUCAUCGCCAAAUGUUGAUACGUCUAUCUAUCAUAACUUUACGCCACGAUAAUAUCAUCUAUCCAACAAUAAUUUGAAAUGUACAGUCGUUACAUGAUGUGCGAUGUGUGCACAAUGUCUGCAUUAUAUGCACACAAUGUAUGCACUGUAGUAAAAGAGGAAGAAAUUUGCUAUCGCACAUCUGUACACUAGAGAGGCUAUUUAAUGUUCAGGGUCUGGUCGAAUUUCGAUAACAUAACUGUCAAAUUAAAAACGGCCUUUAUUCUUUAUCAUCACCAAGCUUUAAUACACCUAUUGUCUCUGUUUACUCAUAACUACACAAGCUUUCAGUUUAGUUUUCAAUUCAUGAUAUUAAUCACCCAUUUCUAACAACCCACACGAAAUGUGUGAUUGUAUCGCACAUUUAUACACUAGUUCCUAUAUCGUCAUGCAGUGUGUGAUGCGACGAU